UGUAGGUUAGUAUAAUAAAUACCUUUAAUUUAGGCUUAAAAAAAAGAUCACAAUCUACCUACAA
Molecule: transfer RNA, 64 nt
Filed under: Parvasolenaia rivularis
Lineage: Eukaryota; Metazoa; Mollusca; Bivalvia; Unionida; Unionidae
Description: Solenaia rivularis tRNA-Leu
Source: RNAcentral